Molecule: ribosomal RNA, 473 nt
Filed under: uncultured bacterium
Lineage: Bacteria
Description: bacterial SSU rRNA
Rfam family: Bacterial small subunit ribosomal RNA
Source: RNAcentral
ACUCUACGGGGAGGCAGCAGUAGGGAAUCUUCCGCAAUGGGCGAAAGCCUGACGGAGCAACGCCGCGUGAGUGAUGAAGGUCUUCGGAUCGUAAAACUCUGUUAUUAGGGAAGAACAAACGUGUAAGUAACUGUGCACGUCUUGACGGUACCUAAUCAGAAAGCCACGGCUAACUACGUGCCAGCAGCCGCGGUAAUACGUAGGUGGCAAGCGUUAUCCGGAAUUAUUGGGCGUAAAGCGCGCGUAGGCGGUUUUUUAAGUCUGAUGUGAAAGCCCACGGCUCAACCGUGGAGGGUCAUUGGAAACUGGAAAACUUGAGUGCAGAAGAGGAAAGUGGAAUUCCAUGUGUAGCGGUGAAAUGCGCAGAGAUAUGGAGGAACACCAGUGGCGAAGGCGACUUUCUGGUCUGUAACUGACGCUGAUGUGCGAAAGCGUGGGGAUCAAACAGGAUUAGAUACCCUGGUAGGCGUAGU